UGUGAGCUCGAUGAGUAGGGCGGGACACGUGGUAUCCUGUCUGAAUAUGGGGGGACCAUCCUCCAAGGCUAAAUACUCCUGACUGACCGAUAGUGAACCAGUACCGUGAGGGAAAGGCGAAAAGAACCCCGGCGAGGGGAGUGAAAAAGAACCUGAAACCGUGUACGUACAAGCAGUGGGAGCACGCUUAGGCGUGUGACUGCGUACCUUUUGUAUAAUGGGUCAGCGACUUAUAUUCUGUAGCAAGGUUAACCGAAUAGGGGAGCCGAAGGGAAACCGAGUCUUAACUGGGCGUUAAGUUGCAGGGUAUAGACCCGAAACCCGGUGAUCUAGCCAUGGGCAGGUUGAAGGUUGGGUAACACUAACUGGAGGACCGAACCGACUAAUGUUGAAAAAUUAGCGGAUGACUUGUGGCUGGGGGUGAAAGGCCAAUCAAACCGGGAGAUAGCUGGUUCUCCCCGAAAGCUAUUUAGGUAGCGCCUCGUGAAUUCAUCUCCGGGGGUAGAGCACUGUUUCGGCAAGGGGGUCAUCCCGACUUACCAACCCGAUGCAAACUGCGAAUACCGGAGAAUGUUAUCACGGGAGACACACGGCGGGUGCUAACGUCCGUCGUGAAGAGGGAAACAACCCAGACCGCCAGCUAAGGUCCCAAAGUCAUGGUUAAGUGGGAAACGAUGUGGGAAGGCCCAGACAGCCAGGAUGUUGGCUUAGAAGCAGCCAUCAUUUAAAGAAAGCGUAAUAGCUCACUGGUCGAGUCGGCCUGCGCGGAAGAUGUAACGGGGCUAAACCAUGCACCGAAGCUGCGGCAGCGACGCUUAUGCGUUGUUGGGUAGGGGAGCGUUCUGUAAGCCUGUGAAGGUGUGCUGUGAGGCAUGCUGGAGGUAUCAGAAGUGCGAAUGCUGACAUAAGUAACGAUAAAGCGGGUGAAAAGCCCGCUCGCCGGAAGACCAAGGGUUCCUGUCCAACGUUAAUCGGGGCAGGGUGAGUCGACCCCUAAGGCGAGGCCGAAAGGCGUAGUCGAUGGGAAACAGGUUAAUAUUCCUGUACUUGGUGUUACUGCGAAGGGGGGACGGAGAAGGCUAUGUUGGCCGGGCGACGGUUGUCCCGGUUUAAGCGUGUAGGCUGGUUUUCCAGGCAAAUCCGGAAAAUCAAGGCUGAGGCGUGAUGACGAGGCACUACGGUGCUGAAGCAACAAAUGCCCUGCUUCCAGGAAAAGCCUCUAAGCAUCAGGUAACAUCAAAUCGUACCCCAAACCGACACAGGUGGUCAGGUAGAGAAUACCAAGGCGCUUGAGAGAACUCGGGUGAAGGAACUAGGCAAAAUGGUGCCGUAACUUCGGGAGAAGGCACGCUGAUAUGUAGGUGAAGUCCCUCGCGGAUGGAGCUGAAAUCAGUCGAAGAUACCAGCUGGCUGCAACUGUUUAUUAAAAACACAGCACUGUGCAAACACGAAAGUGGACGUAUACGGUGUGACGCCUGCCCGGUGCCGGAAGGUUAAUUGAUGGGGUUAGCCGCAAGGCGAAGCUCUUGAUCGAAGCCCCGGUAAACGGCGGCCGUAACUAUAACGGUCCUAAGGUAGCGAAAUUCCUUGUCGGGUAAGUUCCGACCUGCACGAAUGGCGUAAUGAUGGCCAGGCUGUCUCCACCCGAGACUCAGUGAAAUUGAACUCGCUGUGAAGAUGCAGUGUACCCGCGGCAAGACGGAAAGACCCCGUGAACCUUUACUAUAGCUUGACACUGAACAUUGAGCCUUGAUGUGUAGGAUAGGUGGGAGGCUUUGAAGUGUGGACGCCAGUCUGCAUGGAGCCGACCUUGAAAUACCACCCUUUAAUGUUUGAUGUUCUAACGUUGACCCGUAAUCCGGGUUGCGGACAGUGUCUGGUGGGUAGUUUGACUGGGGCGGUCUCCUCCUAAAGAGUAACGGAGGAGCACGAAGGUUGGCUAAUCCUGGUCGGACAUCAGGAGGUUAGUGCAAUGGCAUAAGCCAGCUUGACUGCGAGCGUGACGGCGCGAGCAGGUGCGAAAGCAGGUCAUAGUGAUCCGGUGGUUCUGAAUGGAAGGGCCAUCGCUCAACGGAUAAAAGGUACUCCGGGGAUAACAGGCUGAUACCGCCCAAGAGUUCAUAUCGACGGCGGUGUUUGGCACCUCGAUGUCGGCUCAUCACAUCCUGGGGCUGAAGUAGGUCCCAAGGGUAUGGCUGUUCGCCAUUUAAAGUGGUACGCGAGCUGGGUUUAGAACGUCGUGAGACAGUUCGGUCCCUAUCUGCCGUGGGCGCUGGAGAACUGAGGGGGGCUGCUCCUAGUACGAGAGGACCGGAGUGGACGCAUCACUGGUGUUCGGGUUGUCAUGCCAAUGGCACUGCCCGGUAGCUAAAUGCGGAAGAGAUAAGUGCUGAAAGCAUCUAAGCACGAAACUUGCCCCGAGAUGAGUUCUCCCUGACUCCUUGAGAGUCCUGAAGGAACGUUGAAGACGACGACGUUGAUAGGCCGGGU
This 2490-nucleotide ribosomal RNA is filed under the name Escherichia coli. RNAcentral's name for it is "partial 23S ribosomal RNA". It matches the Rfam family "Bacterial large subunit ribosomal RNA", at positions 398 to 2866 of the family's 2925-position model. Lineage: Bacteria; Pseudomonadati; Pseudomonadota; Gammaproteobacteria; Enterobacterales; Enterobacteriaceae. The record is from RNAcentral.